Molecule: ribosomal RNA, 481 nt
Filed under: uncultured bacterium
Lineage: Bacteria
Description: partial 16S ribosomal RNA
Rfam family: Bacterial small subunit ribosomal RNA
Source: RNAcentral
UUGAACGCUGGCGGCAUGCUUUACACCUGCAAGUCGCACGGUAACAGCACUUCGGUGGCUGACGAGUGGCGAACGGGUGAGUAAUACAUCGGAACGUGCCUAGUAGUGGGGGAUAACUACUCGAAGGAGUAGCUAAUACCGCAUGAGAUCUAAGGAUGAAAGCAGGGGACCUUCGGGCCUUGCGCUACUAGAGCGGCUGAUGGCAGAUUAGGUAGUUGGUGGGAUAAAAGCUUACCAAGCCGACGAUCUGUAGCUGGUCUGAGAGGACGACCAGCCACACUGGGACUGAGACACGGCCCAGACUCCUACGGGAGGCAGCAGUGGGGAAUUUUGGACAAUGGGCGCAAGCCUGAUCCAGCAAUGCCGCGUGCAGGAUGAAGGCCUUCGGGUUGUAAACUGCUUUUGUACGGAACGAAAAGCCCUCUUCUAAUACAGGAGGGUCAUGACGGUACCGUAAGAAUAAGCACCGGCUAACUACGUG